CCUACGGGAGGCAGCAGUGGGGAAUAUUGGACAAUGGGCGAAAGCCUGAUCCAGCAAUGCCGCGUGAGUGAUGAAGGCCUUAGGGUCGUAAAGCUCUUUUACCAGGGAUGAUAAUGACAGUACCUGGAGAAUAAGCUCCGGCUAACUCCGUGCCAGCAGCCGCGGUAAUACGGAGGGAGCUAGCGUUGUUCGGAAUUACUGGGCGUAAAGCGUGCGUAGGCGGUUAUUCAAGUCAGAGGUGAAAGCCCGGGGCUCAACCCCGGAACGGCCUUUGAAACUAGAUAACUAGAAUCUUGGAGAGGUCAGUGGAAUUCCGAGUGUAGAGGUGAAAUUCGUAGAUAUUCGGAAGAACACCAGUGGCGAAGGCGACUGACUGGACAAGUAUUGACGCUGAGGUACGAAAGCGUGGGGAGCAAACAGGAUUAGAUACCCUGGUAGUCCACGCCGUAAACGAUGAUAACUAGCUGUCCGGACACUUGGUGUUUGGGUGGCGCAGCUAACGCAUUAAGUUAUCCGCCUGGGGAGUCGGUCGCAAGNUUAAAACUCAAAGANAAUCGCGNGNGAGNGCGACGACGACGACGAGAGGAG
RNAcentral lists this ribosomal RNA (588 nucleotides) under uncultured bacterium. Its description in RNAcentral is "bacterial SSU rRNA". It matches the Rfam family "Bacterial small subunit ribosomal RNA", at positions 338 to 944 of the family's 1533-position model. The record is from RNAcentral.